UACGUAGGAUGCAAGCGUUGUCCGGAAUUACUGGGCGUAAAGGGCGAGCAGGUGGCACUACAAGUCUGAUGUAAAAUCUCCCGGCUUAACUGGGAGGGGCCAUUGGAAACUGUAGAGCUGGAGUGCAGGAGAGGCUAACGGAAUUCCCGGUGUAGUGGUGAAAUGCGUAGAUAUCAGGAGGAACACCUGUGGCGAAAGCGGCUCACUGGACAAGUAUUGACGCUGAGGUGCGAAAGCGUGGGGAGCAAACAGG
RNAcentral lists this ribosomal RNA (253 nucleotides) under uncultured bacterium. RNAcentral describes it as "partial 16S ribosomal RNA". It matches the Rfam family "Bacterial small subunit ribosomal RNA", at positions 524 to 776 of the family's 1533-position model. The record is from RNAcentral.